RNAcentral lists this ribosomal RNA (305 nucleotides) under uncultured bacterium. RNAcentral's name for it is "bacterial SSU rRNA". It matches the Rfam family "Bacterial small subunit ribosomal RNA", at positions 337 to 640 of the family's 1533-position model. The record is from RNAcentral.
UCCUACGGGAGGCAGCAGUGAGGAAUAUUGGUCAAUGGACGGAAGUCUGAACCAGCCAUGCCGCGUGCAGGAAGACGGCUCUAUGAGUUGUAAACUGCUUUUGUACAAGGGUAAACCUGAAUACGUGUAUUCAGCUGAAAGUACUGUACGAAUAAGGAUCGGCUAACUCCGUGCCAGCAGCCGCGGUAAUACGGAGGAUGCGAGCGUUAUCCGGAUUUAUUGGGUUUAAAGGGUGCGCAGGCGGCGUGUCAAGUCAGCGGUAAAAUGUCGGGGCUCAACCCCGGCCGGCCGUUGAAACUGGCGUG